GCGUGCCCCCCCACAGCAGGCAGCAUCCUCCGGACUCCGGACGGGUGUUAUUGUGUUUGCAGGGUCAUGUGAACCAUUUAGAUUACAAGAGUUAACGGGAUGCUGGACAGUUACUGUGGAAGCUUUGCUAAAUGAUGCCCCAAAAUUAGUCUGUUGUUGAAAAUGAUGUUGUUUAUUGUAUAGUAUUUAAGAAUGUAAUUUUCUUUUCUAUCUUCUGGCAUGCUGACUGGUUACUUUGAGCCUCAAACCCUUAUUAGAUCAUCCUCUAAUACAAAGCUUUAUUUUUUGCACAGCCUUUCAGAACAUGAACUCUAAGAGGAAAGCAGAGACCUGGAAGAGGAACCGGAGGCAGCUGUGGUGAUGGUGAGCCUGUACCCUGAGUUCCCCCAGUCUGUGAUGUCCUCACUCGCCUCAUGUGGGGAGUUUGUGUUCUCAUUGGAUGGAUGGGGAAGUAUGGACGAUCCCAUGAAUAACAGCAAGCAGGAAGAAACUUGCAUCAGCAGUGCAAGGGACACUCUGCUGCUCCUGUUGAAGAGUUUAGCAAUGGGCUGCUACUUCAAUAUCUACAGUUUUGGGUCCAGAUUUGAACACAUCUUCCUGUAAGUGACUCGGUCCACAAAAAUGUGUUUCACUCAUUAAUGUCACAUGAUGAUCAUUAGAUCAGA
Molecule: long non-coding RNA, 665 nt
Organism: Melanotaenia boesemani (Boeseman's rainbowfish)
Lineage: Eukaryota; Metazoa; Chordata; Actinopteri; Atheriniformes; Melanotaeniidae
Exons: 3
Source: RefSeq, a predicted model, not a curated record